Molecule: non-coding RNA, 85 nt
Organism: Perkinsus olseni
Lineage: Eukaryota; Perkinsozoa; Perkinsida; Perkinsidae
Source: the annotation of a GenBank genome assembly
GACACUUUGGCCGAGUGGGUUAAGGCGGCGGCCUGCGUUGCCGUUGAGCUACGCCCGCGAGGGUUCUGAACUCCCUCAGGUGUCG